CGUAUCGUGUCGUCGUGACUUUCGUGCCGAGAGCCCCCGUGAUCGGGCCAGAAAUUGUUGCAGGGAAAAUAGUCAGCCUUUAUUCUUCGGAUUGAUCAGUAUUCUUUCCGAGAUCCGAGAGUUUUGUGCGAUUCAAUCUUCCUUUUUUUCUGUAGUUGAGAUCUAGCUCCUAACACCACCAACAACAACCAUGGCUGACGAUGAAGCAAAGAAGGCCAAACAGGCCGAAAUCGAGCGCAAGCGUGCGGAAGUGCGCAAGCGUAUGGAGGAAGCUUCCAAAGCAAAGAAGGCCAAGAAGGGUUUCAUGACUCCAGAAAGAAAGAAGAAACUCAGGUUGUUGUUGCGUAAGAAAGCCGCCGAAGAACUGAAGAAAGAACAGGAGCGUAAAGCAGCGGAACGUAGGCGCAUCAUCGAAGAGCGAUGCGGCAAGCCAAAGAGCGUCGAAGAUGCCAACGAAGACGUGUUGAAAGACAUUGUUAGAGAAUAUUACAACCGUAUGUAUACAUGUGAAGGCCAAAAAUGGGAUUUGGAAUUCGAAGUCCGGAAAAGAGAUUGGGAGAUUUCCGACCUCAACGCCCAAGUCAACGACCUUCGCGGUAAAUUCGUCAAGCCAACGCUGAAGAAGGUCUCCAAGUACGAGAACAAAUUCGCCAAGCUGCAGAAGAAGGCCGCCGAAUUUAACUUCCGUAACCAGCUCAAGGUUGUCAAAAAGAAGGAAUUCACCCUGGAAGAGGAAGAUAAGGAGGCUAAGAAAUCGGAGAAGGCUGACUGGCAGAAGAAGUAGAGGGGAUUACAAAACCACUUUUCUUUUAAUUAUCUUUUUGUAUAUUUAAAAUUAACUGCAAUCCAUAUGUGUCUAUUUAUUAGUUUCGAGAAUUAUUAUUGUUAAUUUUAACAACACAAAAAAACGUGGCAAUAAGAGAGCUAGAACUGUUAAUUUGUCGCCAAAUCCGCCGCUACCAGCAGUAAUGCAGAAAGUAACAAAUCGAAAAAUUCGCAAAUAAAACAUCGUGGUACGGAACAACUGCGUUGGUGUGAUUCUGUAGAUUAAAAGAAAACGAGUUUUGUAUCUGUCCAUCAGUUCCGUGGGAACUGAGCGUAAGAUUCGCCCGAACAGAAAGCCAGUCAAAUAUUUGUUGUGGAAAUGGAUAGAAGAAACCCGAUUGGUCCAAGAAGGGCGACGCCAAGGUAACGGCCGAAGCAGUCGAUGCCGAAGCAUAAGGCAUCACCUGUGCGCUAAUUCUAAAUCUUCGUCCUUACCACCAUUCAAAAUCCAUAAGCACUCAUCUUUAUUUGUCUGUUUUAUAAUCUAAAAAAAUAUUAAAUAAAAAGAAGGCAAACAUAUUUAUGUAUAAUUGUCAACCGUACCCGUGGAGCGUGGAGUUGAACGAGAAAUCGAAAGGAAAAGAAGGAUUUCCUGUCCCCCUCUUCCCGUUUCUGUUCCCAAUUACCUGAACAAAUCCUAACCCUUCCCGAGUACCCAUCCCUGAUCUGUUCCAGAGGUGUCACUAGCCAGCCUAGUGAUAAAACCGCUCUGUCGUCGAACAAUGACUCCCAUUUUCUAUAUGUAUUUAUGACUUCAAAAUAAACGUGUAUUUUGGAACGAGUAAAAAUCAUUCUGUGAACUAA
This is an RNA transcript of Armigeres subalbatus, 1629 nucleotides long. It is a transcript of the gene named troponin I, with no coding region annotated. Lineage: Eukaryota; Metazoa; Arthropoda; Insecta; Diptera; Culicidae. The record is from RefSeq and is a predicted model, not a curated record. The transcript has 8 exons.